Molecule: ribosomal RNA, 253 nt
Filed under: uncultured bacterium
Lineage: Bacteria
Description: partial 16S ribosomal RNA
Rfam family: Bacterial small subunit ribosomal RNA
Source: RNAcentral
UACGUAGGUCCCGAGCGUUAUCCGGAUUUACUGGGCGUAAAGGGAGCGUAGGCGGACUUUUAAGUGAGAUGUGAAAUACUCGGGCUCAACUUGAGUGCUGCAUUUCAAACUGGAAGUCUAGAGUGCAGGAGAGGAGAAUGGAAUUCCUAGUGUAGCGGUGAAAUGCGUAGAGAUUAGGAAGAACACCAGUGGCGAAGGCGAUUCUCUGGACUGUAACUGACGCUGAGGCUCGAAAGCGUGGGGAGCAAACAGG